GACGAACGCUGGCGGCGUGCUUAACACAUGCAAGUCGAACGGAAAGGCCCUGCUUUUGUGAGGUGCUCGAGUGGCGAACGGGUGAGUAACACGUGAGUAACCUGCCCUUGACUUUGGGAUAACUUCAGGAAACUGGGGCUAAUACCGGAUAGGAGCUCCUGCUGCAUGGUGGGCGUUGGAAAGUUUCGGCGGUUGGGGAUGGACUCGCGGCUUAUCAGCUUGUUGGUGGGGUAGUGGCUUACCAAGGCUUUGACGGGUAGCCGGCCUGAGAGGGUGACCGGCCACAUUGGGACUGAGAUACGGCCCAGACUCCUACGGGAGGCAGCAGUGGGGAAUAUUGCACAAUGGGCGGAAGCCUGAUGCAGCAACGCCGCGUGCGGGAUGACGGCCUUCGGGUUGUAAACCGCUUUCGCCUGUGACGAAGCGUGAGUGACGGUAAUGGGUAAAGAAGCACCGGCUAACUACGUG
Molecule: ribosomal RNA, 468 nt
Filed under: uncultured bacterium
Lineage: Bacteria
Description: partial 16S ribosomal RNA
Rfam family: Bacterial small subunit ribosomal RNA
Source: RNAcentral